AACCUCCGCAAUGUGAGAAAUCGCGACGGGGGGAUCCCAAGUGCCAUUCUUAACGGGAUGGCUUUUCAUUAGUGUAAAGAGCUUUUGGAAUAAGGGCUGGGCAAGACCGGUGCCAGCCGCCGCGGUAACACCGGCAGCUCUAGUGGUAGCAGUUUUUAUUGGGCCUAAAGCGUCCGUAGCCGGUUUAAUAAGUCUCUGGUGAAAUCCUGUAGCUUAACUGUGGGAAUUGCUGGAGAUACUAUUAGACUUGAGACCGGGAGAGGUUAGAGGUACUCCCAGGGUAGAGGUGAAAUUCUGUAAUCCUGGGAGGACCGCCUGUUGCGAAGGCGUCUAACUGGAACGGUUCUGACGGUGAGGGACGAAAGUUAGGGGCGCGAACCGGAUUAGAUACCCGGGUAGCCCUAACUGUAAACGAUGCGGACUUGGUGUUGGGGUGGCUUUGAGCUGCUCCAGUGCCGAAGGGAAGCUGUUAAGUCCGCCGCCUGGGAAGUACGGUCGCAAGACUGAAACUUAAAGGAAUU
This 521-nucleotide ribosomal RNA is filed under the name uncultured bacterium. Its description in RNAcentral is "bacterial SSU rRNA". It matches the Rfam family "Archaeal small subunit ribosomal RNA", at positions 345 to 866 of the family's 1478-position model. The record is from RNAcentral.